UGGGGAAUCUUGCGCAAUGGGCGAAAGCCUGACGCAGCGACGCCGCGUGGAGGAUGAAGGUCUUCGGAUUGUAAACUUCUGUUAAGUGGGAAGAAAUACUCAUCUCUAAUACAGAUGAGGGAUGACGGUACCAUUAGAGAAAGCACCGGCUAAACUCGUGCCAGCAGCCGCGGUAAUACGAGUGGUGCAAGCGUUAUUCGGAUUUAUUGGGCGUAAAGGGUGUGUAGACGGUGCAUCAAGUCAACUGUUUAAUUCUCCGGCCUAACCGGAGGUCAGCGGUAGAAACUAGUGUGCUAGAGGGUGGGAGAGAGAAGUGGAAUUCUCGGAGUAGCGGUAAAAUGCGUAGAUCUCGAGAGGAACACCAAUGGCGAAGGCAGCUUCUUGGCCCAAUCCUGACGUUGAAACACGAAAGCGUGGGGAGCAAACAGGAUUAGAUACCCGUGUAGUCC
RNAcentral lists this ribosomal RNA (449 nucleotides) under uncultured bacterium. Its description in RNAcentral is "bacterial SSU rRNA". It matches the Rfam family "Bacterial small subunit ribosomal RNA", at positions 355 to 796 of the family's 1533-position model. The record is from RNAcentral.